This 301-nucleotide RNase P RNA is filed under the name Accumulibacter sp. RNAcentral's name for it is "RNase P RNA component class A". It matches the Rfam family "Bacterial RNase P class A", at positions 20 to 305 of the family's 367-position model. From Rfam's summary of the family: Ribonuclease P (RNase P) is a ubiquitous endoribonuclease, found in archaea, bacteria and eukarya as well as chloroplasts and mitochondria. Its best characterised activity is the generation of mature 5'-ends of tRNAs by cleaving the 5'-leader elements of precursor-tRNAs. The record is from RNAcentral. Lineage: Bacteria; Pseudomonadati; Pseudomonadota; Betaproteobacteria.
CUGGGCAAGAGGUGAAAACCUGGCGCCGAGAGGAAAGUCCGGGCUCCACAGAGCAGGAUGCCGGUUAACGACCGGGCACCGCGAGGUGACGGAAAGUGCAACAGAAAACAGACCGCCGAUGUCCUGGCUCAGGCAACUGACCAGAGCAGGUAAGGGUGAAACGGCGAGGUAAGAGCUCACCGCGUUCGUGGUAACACGAACGGCACGGCAAACCCCAUCUGGAGCAAGGCCAAAUAGGGAAGCGCGGCAGUACGUCGAGGCCGUCACCGUGCAGGCUGGCGGCGGCGGUCUCGAUUGCCUC